CACCACCUCUUUGCUGUCCUACUAGUCAACCCUCCUGAUCAGAGCCUUUCCUAAAUAGUGAAAGGUUCAAAAAGUUCCCUGUACAUGGAACCAUGCCUGUCCUCUGUUCCACAUGUCUUCAGUCCGUUCUGGACCCUAUGACUCUGUUCCACAUGUCUUCAGUCAGUUCUGGACCCCAUGACUCGGACACUAGUUCUACCAAGGCUCAUUAGAGAGUGCUUCAGAGGAUGGCUGAAUUCACAAAACGUGGAGAAGACCGAGAGGGAGAAGUUGGCCGGUUACUACAUUUCACAAAAAAUACAGGACCUUGUGAAAAACGGAAAGAAACAAUUGAAGGAAACUGCUUAAAAAUAUGAAGUAAUGGGUGUUUUGAAAAUGUUUUCAAAUGUGUGUUAAUGUUCAUUGUGUGUUAUAAAUUAUUUUCCUGCUUCUAAUCAUUUGAUGUAUGAGUAUUUAUUUACAGACAUUCUAUACAUUCUGGUACCUUUCUGGUAAGGUAGGUGCUCUGAUCUGAAAUGAUAGAUGUUCAUUGAGCUACUGCAAUUGGGUGAGAGUGUUUCAUCAUCAUAUAUGACCAGCUUAACCAUCAAGUAAUCCCAGUUAAAGUUCUACUCAAGAUCAUACCAGUCGGACCAGCUAAUGGUGACCAGCUAGAACACUGUGACCACCAGCUUUUAC
This is a long non-coding RNA of Trematomus bernacchii (emerald rockcod), 678 nucleotides long. RefSeq lists it as uncharacterized. The transcript is spliced from 3 exons. The record is from RefSeq and is a predicted model, not a curated record. Lineage: Eukaryota; Metazoa; Chordata; Actinopteri; Perciformes; Nototheniidae.